Molecule: long non-coding RNA, 234 nt
Filed under: Elaeis guineensis (African oil palm)
Lineage: Eukaryota; Viridiplantae; Streptophyta; Magnoliopsida; Arecales; Arecaceae
Description: long non-coding RNA (EGUI_LNC039618)
Source: RNAcentral
CCUCCAAGAUUGGAUCUAACCCGAGUUGGAUCAAUAAAUUCUCUACUCUAACCUUCUACAUCGAGAAGCUUCUCUUUCCAUCAAACUUCUCAAACUCUACCUUUAACUUGCUACUCAUGGUCGGCACCAACCACAAUCACAACACAGAUAUAUCAAAUUUGAGAAGGUAUAUCUUAGAAGAGGGUGUGCUGAUUUUUCUUUUGAUGGAGAAUAUUCUUUCUUCUUCCUCCCCAC